GACGAACGCUGGCGGCGUGCUUAACACAUGCAAGUCGAACGGUGAAAGCGGAGCUUGCUCCGCUGGAUCAGUGGCGAACGGGUGAGUAACACGUGGGCAACCUGCCCCUGACUUCGGGAUAACUCCUCGAAAGAGGUGCUAAUACCGGAGACGACACCUGACGGCAUCUGCGGGAUUGGAAAGUUUAUCGGUCAGGGAUGGGCCUGCGGCCUAUCAGCUUGUUGGUGAGGUAGUGGCUCACCAAGGCGACGACGGGUAGCCGGCCUGAGAGGGCGACCGGCCACACUGGGACUGAGACACGGCCCAGACUCCUACGGGAGGCAGCAGUGGGGAAUAUUGCGCAAUGGGCGAAAGCCUGACGCAGCAACGCCGCGUGAGGGAUGACGGCCUUCGGGUUGUAAACCUCUUUCAGCAGGGAAGAAGCGAAAGUGACGGUACCUGCAGAAGAAGCACCGGCUAACUACGUGCCAGCCGCCGCCGUAA
This 483-nucleotide ribosomal RNA is filed under the name uncultured bacterium. RNAcentral's name for it is "partial 16S ribosomal RNA". It matches the Rfam family "Bacterial small subunit ribosomal RNA", at positions 28 to 523 of the family's 1533-position model. The record is from RNAcentral.